CCAAACGAGUCUCGGCAAUGGAUAUCUCGGCUCUCACAUUGAUGAAAAACGUAGCGAAAUGCGAUACUUGGUGUGAAUUGCAAAAUCCCGUAAACCAUUGAGUCUUUGAACGCAAGUUGCGCCCGAAGUCAUCAGCUCGAGGGCACGUUUACCUGGGCAUCGCAC
This 165-nucleotide ribosomal RNA is filed under the name Haldina cordifolia. Its description in RNAcentral is "5.8S ribosomal RNA". It matches the Rfam family "5.8S ribosomal RNA". From Rfam's summary of the family: 5.8S ribosomal RNA (5.8S rRNA) is a component of the large subunit of the eukaryotic ribosome. The record is from RNAcentral. Lineage: Eukaryota; Viridiplantae; Streptophyta; Magnoliopsida; Gentianales; Rubiaceae.